CCUACGGGCGGCAGCAGUGGGGAAUAUUGGACAAUGGGCGAAACCCUGAACCAGCGACGCCGCGUGAGUGAAGACGUAUUUCGGUACGUAAAGCUCUAUUAGUAGGAAAGUAAAUGACGGUACCUGACUAGGAAUCUCUGGCUAACUACGUUCCAGCAGCCGGGGUCCUACGUAGGGGGCAAGCGUGAUCCGGAGUUAAUGGGUGUAAAGGGAGCGUAGACGGCUGGGAAAGGCUGGAGUGAAAUGCCGGGGCCCAACCCCGGAAGUGCCGUGGAAACUGUGAAGCUGGAGUGCGCGAAGGGUAAGCGGAAUUCGUGGUGUAGCGGUGAAAUGCUUAGAUAUCAGGAGGAACACCGGCGGCGAAGGCAGCUUACUGGACUAUAACUGACGUUGAGGCUCGAAGGCGUGGGGAGCAAACAGGAUUAGAUACCCGAGUAGUC
RNAcentral lists this ribosomal RNA (440 nucleotides) under uncultured bacterium. RNAcentral's name for it is "partial 16S ribosomal RNA". It matches the Rfam family "Bacterial small subunit ribosomal RNA", at positions 338 to 795 of the family's 1533-position model. The record is from RNAcentral.